UUGAAAAUUUAUGGUGGGGACACGCAAACUUCUCAACAGGCCGUACCAAUAUCCGCAGCUGGUCUCCAAGGUGAAGAGUCUCUAGUCGAUAGAAUAAUGUAGGUAAGGGAAGUCGGCAAAUUAGAUCCGUAACUUCGGGAUAAGGAUUGGCUCUGAAGAUUGAGAUAGUCGGGCUUGAUUGGGAAACAAUAACAUGGUUUAUGUUCUCGUUCUGGGUAAAUAGAGUUUCUAGCAUUUAUGUUAGUUACUUGUUCCCCGGAUAGUUUAGUUACGUAGCCAAUUGUGGAACUUUCUUGCUAAAAUUUUUAAGAAUACUAUUUGGGUUAAACCAAUUAGUUCUUAUCAAUUAUAACGAUUAUCAAUUAACAAUCAAUUCAGAACUGGCACGGACUUGGGGAAUCCGACUGUCUAAUUAAAACAAAGCAUUGUGAUGGCCCUAGCGGGUGUUGACACAAUGUGAUUUCUGCCCAGUGCUCUGAAUGUCAAAGUGAAGAAAUUCAAGUAAGCGCGGGUCAACGGCGGGAGUAACUAUGACUCUCUUAAGGUAGCCAAAUGCCUCGUCAUCUAAUUAGUUUUUUUUUUUUUUUUUUUUUUUUUUUUUAGCGUGCGU
RNAcentral lists this non-coding RNA (610 nucleotides) under Drosophila simulans. RNAcentral's name for it is "Eukaryotic large subunit ribosomal RNA". It matches the Rfam family "Eukaryotic large subunit ribosomal RNA", at positions 1805 to 2307 of the family's 3401-position model. The record is from Rfam by way of RNAcentral. Lineage: Eukaryota; Metazoa; Arthropoda; Insecta; Diptera; Drosophilidae.